GUGUAGCUGAAAUACUUGAAAAAAAUUAUAUUAAAUAUGUUUACAUCUAAUGAAUGAUAAAGUAAAUUCAUUGCCUUAAAAUUUAGUUGGAUCUUUUAUUUAUCAUGCUCAGUUAAUGUAUUGCAUGUGUAUAGGCCAUUGACUAUAAUUUUUCAUAAAUUAUAAUCAUAUGCUUGUAUGAAAACUUUUAUCCUAGCUUUUCAAUAGAUAUAAUUUGAUCUAUU
Molecule: long non-coding RNA, 224 nt
Filed under: Elaeis guineensis (African oil palm)
Lineage: Eukaryota; Viridiplantae; Streptophyta; Magnoliopsida; Arecales; Arecaceae
Description: long non-coding RNA (EGUI_LNC007370)
Source: RNAcentral